This 566-nucleotide long non-coding RNA is filed under the name Homo sapiens (human). RNAcentral's name for it is "non-protein coding lnc-CORO6-1:2". The record is from RNAcentral. Lineage: Eukaryota; Metazoa; Chordata; Mammalia; Primates; Hominidae.
GGCUUGAUUCAUGGAGGGAGGGACAAGCCCUGGGGAGAGAAAAGCACAGAAUUUGAGUCAGUAGAUCUGGUUUCCAUUCCUGGUUCACCCUCUUGCUGCAACCCUGAGAAGUUACUUCACAUUUCUCAUCCUUACCUGACCCCAUCUAUAAAAUGAAAAUCAAGAGAUCCAUCUCACAGGGUUAUUGUGAAUAAAAAUGUGUUUGAAUGUUUAUUACGUAUUGUUGAGAGUUAUUCAGAUAUGAUUCUCAUCUUCCUCCAAGGCUACCCAGAAGACACGUGUAUGUGCCAUUUAUUUCCUCUUCCAUGACAUCACUACUGCCUCCUGCCACCCACAGACAUAUUCCAUUCAAAACUGAAAUGGGAAGUGUUCCUAGAAUUUCCUAUAUUGUGGUGUUUUCUGGAUUUUAAGUACUAUCUAGUGCUAGGGAUGUCACUUAGGCUGCUUUUGGCUGCAAGUAAUCAAUUACCUCAAUCAGGAUCUCAGCAAGAAACAGCAGACUCAGAUUAGGAUUAUUUGAGGAGGGUUAUUUAUUUAUUUAUUUAUUUAUUUAUUUAUUUAUCGAG